Molecule: ribosomal RNA, 495 nt
Filed under: Salmonella enterica subsp. enterica serovar Orientalis
Lineage: Bacteria; Pseudomonadati; Pseudomonadota; Gammaproteobacteria; Enterobacterales; Enterobacteriaceae
Description: partial 23S ribosomal RNA
Rfam family: Bacterial large subunit ribosomal RNA
Source: RNAcentral
CUGUAAGCCUGUGAAGGUGGCCUGUGAGGGUUGCUGGAGGUAUCAGAAGUGCGAAUGCUGACAUAAGUAACGAUAAAGCGGGUGAAAAGCCCGCUCGCCGGAAGACCAAGGGUUCCUGUCCAACGUUAAUCGGGGCAGGGUGAGUCGACCCCUAAGGCGAGGCCGAAAGGCGUAGUCGAUGGGAAACGGGUUAAUAUUCCCGUACUUGGUGUUACUGCGAAGGGGGGACGGAGAAGGCUAUGUUGGCCGGGCGACGGUUGUCCCGGUUUAAGCGUGUAGGUGUGUGUUCCAGGUAAAUCCGGUUCACUUUAACACUGAGGCGUGACGACGAGGCACUACGGUGCUGAAGCAACAAAUGCCCUGCUUCCAGGAAAAGCCUCUAAGCAUCAGGUAACAUCAAAUCGUACCCCAAACCGACACAGGUGGUCAGGUAGAGAAUACCAAGGCGCUUGAGAGAACUCGGGUGAAGGAACUAGGCAAAAUGGUGCCGUAACU